This 255-nucleotide ribosomal RNA is filed under the name uncultured bacterium. RNAcentral describes it as "partial 16S ribosomal RNA". It matches the Rfam family "Bacterial small subunit ribosomal RNA", at positions 524 to 776 of the family's 1533-position model. The record is from RNAcentral.
UACGUAGGGUGCAAGCAUUAUCCGGAGUGACUGGGCGUAAAGAGUUGCGUAGGUGGUUUAUUAAGUGAAUGGUGAAAUCUGGCGGCUCAACCGUACAGACUAUUAUUCAAACUGGUAAACUCGAGAAUGGUAGAGGUAACUGGAAUUUCUAGUGUAGGAGUGAAAUCCGUAGAUAUUAGAAGGAACACCAAUGGCGUAGGCAGGUUACUGGACCAUUUCUGACACUAAGGCACGAAAGCGUGGGGAGCGAACCGG